This 2655-nucleotide ribosomal RNA is filed under the name Blastocystis sp. DMP/02-328. Its description in RNAcentral is "large subunit ribosomal RNA". It matches the Rfam family "Bacterial large subunit ribosomal RNA". The record is from RNAcentral. Lineage: Eukaryota; Bigyra; Opalinata; Blastocystidae.
AUAAAUAUAUAUAUAAGCAUUAGAUGGAUACCUUGAUAUUUAUUAAUUUAUAUGGACGUUAUUUAUUUACGAAAAUAUUUAUUGAAUUUUAUAUUAUGAAAUAAAUGUUUCCAAUGAGAAAACUUUUUCUGAAUGAAAUUAAGUUAAAAAUUAGUGAAUUGAAACAUCUUAGUAACUAAGUAAAAAAAUCAAACGAGAGUCUGUGAGUAGUGGCGAACGAAAAUGGAUAAGGGUUUAAAUUAAACAAUUAUUAAAAUUUAUAAAUUAACAUAGAUGGUUUAUAAUUCCAGUAUAAGUUUAAUUUUGUUUAAUUUUAGAGUAAAACGAAAUAGGUGUAAUUUUGUUUGAAGAUAAGGGAACCAUCCUUUAAGCCUAAAUAAAAUAAAUAAUCGAUAGUGAACAAGUACUGUGAAGGAAAGGUGAAAUAGAAUUUACGAAAUUGAAAUAGAACUUGAAAUCUAAUGCUUUUAGCAAUUGGAGCUUUAAUUGAAAAGUGACAAUGUACCUUUUGUAUAAUGGACCAGUAAGUUUAUUUAUAUAGCAAGUUUAAAUUGUUAAAUGGAAACGUAGUGAAAGCGAAUUUGAAAAGAAUUAUUUUUAGUUAUAUAAAUAAGACCCGAAACCAAGUGAUCUAAUUAUGAACAAGUUGAAAAAAUAUUAAAUUAUUUUUGAGGACUGAACCCGUGUCUGUUGCAUAAGAUUGGGAUGAUUUGUGAUUAGGGGUGAAAGGCUAAUCAAACUUGGAGAUAGCUGGUUUUCUGUGAAAUCUAUUUACGUAAAGUAUUAAAAUUAUUUUUUUGGGGUAGAGAUAUCGAUAAAAGAGGGUUGCCUAUAAAGCUUUACUAAUUUUAAGGAAACUUCGAAUACGAAAAAAUAUUUUAAUAAACGGACUUAUAAUGCUAAGGUUGUAAGUCGAGAGGGAAACAGCCCAGAUUGUUUAUUAAGGUCUUUAAAUUUUUUCUUAUAAAAAAUAAGAUAUUAAAUGAAUAUAACUAAGAGUUAGGUUCAGAAGCAGCCAUUCUUUAAAGAAAGCGUAAAAGCUCAUUAGUUUAAUUUAGUAUUUUUUACGAUGUAUAGAGAUUUAAAAGAAAAAUACCGAAAUAGCAAAUUAAAUUUUAUUUUAAAAAUUUAAUAGUAACAGAACGUUCUGUAUGCAAAAAGAUAAAUUGAAAAAUUUAUUAAUGUAUCAGAAGUGAUAAUACUGGUAUGAGUAAUAUAAAUAAUAUUAAAUAGGUAAUUAAAUAUUAUCGUCGAAAAUUUAAGGUUUUUAAUUUAUAAUUGUUAAACAAAAUUAAGUAAUACGGUUUCUAAAAAUUUAAGUGAAAACUUAGUUUGAUGAAUAUUAUAUUCAGAAACUUUUAAAUUUAUAGUUAAUACAAAAUUAUAUUUAAAAUUCAAAAUAUCUGGAUUAGAAAACCGUACUUAAAACCAACAAUGGUAAAUGGGUAGAGUAUACUAAGACGAAAAAGUGAAUCAUAGUGAAGGAACUCGGCAAAUUAACCUUGUAACUUCGGAAUAAAAGGUUUUUAUUAAGUGUAUUUUAAUUAAUAAAAAAAUAGAAAAGGGGGUAGCGACUGUUUAAUAAAAACACAGGACUUUGCAAAAUUGUAAAAUGAUGUAUAAGGUCUGACACCUGCCAGGAACUGUGUAGUUAAAAUUGGAGAGAAUUUAUUUUCAAUCUAAGCAGCAGUAAUCGGCGGCCAUAACUCUGAUGGUCCUAAGGUAGCGAAAUUCCUUGUCAACUAAUUAUUGACGUGCAUGAAUGGUGUAACGACUUCCCCACUGUCUCCACUAUGAGCUUUGUGAAAUUGAAAUAUUUGUGAAGAUGCGAAUUAUAUAUGGUUAGACGGGAAGACCCCGUGCACCUUUACUACAUUUUUUAAUUGAUUAUUUUUAUAAAAGUGUGUAGCAUAAGUGGGAGUUUAAAUUCAGUUUUAAAUAAUAAUGAAAUACCACUCGUUUUAUAAUUAAUAGCUAAUUUAUUAAAAAAUAAUAAAGACAUAUUAAAGAUUGGUAGUUUAACUGGGGUGGUUUUCUCCAAAAAAGUAACGGAGAAAUAUAAAGGUAAAUUAAUAGUUAUUGUUGUGAUAAUUAUUUAUGUGUAAUGGCUUAAAUUUGCUUGACUGUAAGAUUGACAAAUCAAACAGAAACGAAAGUUGAUCAUAGUGACCCGGUAAUUCUUUAUGGAAAGGUUAUCGAUCAAUGGAUAAAAGGUACGCCGGGGAUAACAGGCUUAUAAUUCUCUAGAGUUCAUAUCGACGGAAUUGUUUGGCACCUCGAUGUCGGCUCAUCACAUCCUAGAGCUGAAGAAGGUUCUAAGGGUUUGGCUGUUCGCCAAUUAAAGUGGUACGUGAGCUGGGUUUAAAACGUCGUGAGACAGUUUUGUCCCUAUCUGCCAUAUACAAACGAAAAAAUUAAAUUAAUAAUUCUAGUACGAGAGGACCGAAUUAGAUUGAUCAAUGGUAUAUAAAUUAUUUCUUUUUGAAGUAUUGUUUAGUAGCUAAAUCAAUAAAAGAUAAAUACUGAAUAAAUAUAAGUAUGAAACUUUAUUUAACUUUUUUCGAAAAAAAAAGUAAUAGAACAUUACUUAAAUAGGCUUAAUGUGUAAAUUUUUGCUAAUAAGUACUAAUUUUUUGUUAAAUUUAUAAAAAAUAA